AUUAUAACUUUGAGAAGCCCCCCUGUUUGACUUUUAGAAGACCCCCUAUUUGUAGUCGUUGGAUAAAAAUUCAACGGUCCACGAACACUGAUCAGGAAGAUCCCGACCAGUUGCCUCGGAGAGGAUCCAAAUCUUGUCCUAUGAACAUAAAAUGAUAAAGAAAAAAAAAUAAAAAGCCAUUAAUUAUCCCUAAUAAUAAAGUGGCUUCUUUACUUUUUAGACAAAAAUUGAGCAAUAGUUUUUAAAAAUUUAAUCCAAUUGAAGCUUUGGUUCUCAAGUAAAAAAUUUAUGAAUAUUAGUCAUGAAUUUAUCACAGUGUGACGCAAUGAUUUUCUUGAGUAAUUUUGUUAAAAAUUAUGCUCCUUAUUUGUUUUUUAAAAAGAUUAUUACUUCACCUUGUAAUGACUUUUAGGAAUCAACACUCACAAAUUGACACACCUCGACCUAAAUUAGGGCAUGCUGGUCGUCACGCGACGGUGACGUAGCCAUGUGCACCGUGCGGAAGCAAUAGAGAUAUAAGGAAAUGUGAAUAAACAAAAACCAAAUCAACUAGAGUACUAGAUAAGAUAAGGUGUAAGUGCAAGAUGAAGUGUGAAAUACACAAUCAGAGCAUAAUAGCCUAAGUGCCGUCAUGCAGAACAAGUACUAAUUAUACGACACCCAAGGGUGAUUAUACAUUUAUGAUAUUUUGUCAGAACCACCGUCGAAAUCCUCGUGAUCCACCAAAGCACUUAUACCUAAAACCUGGAGGGGCGCAAAACAAAAAGUGUGAGUGGGCAAAAGCAAAGCUUUUCAAAAUCAUUUCAAUUCUCAAAAGUUCUAACCCCUCACCGUAAAACCUGUAUAAUUUCCCAGAAAAUAAUAAUAAUAAUAAGUUGAAUCAGAAAUCAUACUCAAGAUGAAAAUCCAUGGAAGUAUACCAUGCCAAAGUAUCUCAAUGCAAUGCUAUAAGUAAUCCAGGCAAAAUAUAUCAAUGUCAAAUAUCCCAUCAACCAAAUCCUUUUAACUCAAUCUGCACGGCUGAGUAUAUAGCUCAUAAUCAAUCUCAAUUAUAUCAAAUCAAAUCCCGCACACGAGUCGGAACCACUUAAAGUGGUAUGUAUGACAAGACUAGGUGUAAAAUAAAUAUGCUCUAGUGCCACGAUCACGAGAAGGCUGUGCGAAUAAUCACGGGUUACCUACGAGUCAGAACCACCUAAAGUGGUAUAUACGACAAGCCUGUGCACCUAACUUGGAUCCAAGAUGAGCAUAUGGUGCGGGAGGUGAACAUCACGUGAAGAACUGUGCACUAACUCUGGGCGGGAGCACUAACACCGGGGUGUAGGUUUAUGAGCUCUCAAUACAUCACAUCAUAUCUCACAUAACUGAUGCAAUCUCCUAUCUUUGAUUUAUGAACUUACCUGUGCGUCCGUAUCACCAAUCAUAAAAAUAUGCAACAACUAAUGCAUAAUAAAAUAGAGAGAUACUUGAAUUAAACCCUCUUUUUAUCAAUUGUAGCAAAGUAUGUAAGUAGGGAUCGUUCUAGACCGGGGAUUAGGAGGGAUUGCUAAAUCACUUGAAAACUGACUCAAAUACGUAAAAACAAGUUUAAAACACUAAACUAGACUCAAAGAAAGCAAAACUAAACUCUAAAACACUAAAACAAACCUAAAGACUCAAAACAGCCCAGAAACACUCAAACUGCCUUAAAACCACAAUCUGGGCAGUUUUGAACAAUAAACACAACUUGGACGAAAAUUGGUUUUAACUUGACUUAAGACACUUGAAAACACAAACUAAAGUGAUUUCUAACUACUAUGACUCAACAAAAUAAAGGGGGAUUGAUUUUGGACGAAUUUAAAAACAAAACAAAACUUUGUAAACUAGAGUAGAUUUUAAAACGAAUUUGGUGAAAGAGAAUGGAUGGAAGGCUAGCUAAAGGGUUCUUCUCCACACAUGUCACACUUGCAUACAAAACGAUUUCCAAUUGCUUCUCAAUAAACCAUGAA
RNAcentral lists this long non-coding RNA (1988 nucleotides) under Malus domestica (apple). RNAcentral's name for it is "long non-coding RNA (MDOM_LNC019349)". The record is from RNAcentral. Lineage: Eukaryota; Viridiplantae; Streptophyta; Magnoliopsida; Rosales; Rosaceae.